GACGAACGCUGGCGGCGUGCUUAACACAUGCAAGUCGAACGGAAAGGCCCUGCUUUUGUGGGGUGCUCGAGUGGCGAACGGGUGAUUAACACGUGAGUAACCUGCCCUUGACUUUGGGAUAACUUCAGGAAACUGGGGCUAAUACCGGAUAGGAGCUCCUGCUGCAUGGUGGGGGUUGGAAAGUUUCGGCGGUUGGGGAUGGACUCGCGGCUUAUCAGCUUGUUGGUGGGGUAGUGGCUUACCAAGGCUUUGACGGGUAGCCGGCCUGAGAGGGUGACCGGCCACAUUGGGACUGAGAUACGGCCCAGACUCCUAAGGGAGGCAGCAGUGGGGAAUAUUGCACAAUGGGCGGAAGCCGGAUGCAGCAACGCCGCGUGCGGGAUGAAGGCCUUCGGGUUGUAAACCGCUUUCGCCUGUGACGAAGCGUGAGUGACGGUAAUGGGUAAAGAAGCACCGGCUAACUACGUG
RNAcentral lists this ribosomal RNA (468 nucleotides) under uncultured bacterium. Its description in RNAcentral is "partial 16S ribosomal RNA". It matches the Rfam family "Bacterial small subunit ribosomal RNA", at positions 28 to 507 of the family's 1533-position model. The record is from RNAcentral.